This 268-nucleotide ribosomal RNA is filed under the name Escherichia coli. RNAcentral describes it as "partial 16S ribosomal RNA". It matches the Rfam family "Bacterial small subunit ribosomal RNA", at positions 1 to 265 of the family's 1533-position model. Lineage: Bacteria; Pseudomonadati; Pseudomonadota; Gammaproteobacteria; Enterobacterales; Enterobacteriaceae. The record is from RNAcentral.
AAAUUGAAGAGUUUGAUCAUGGCUCAGAUUGAACGCUGGCGGCAGGCCUAACACAUGCAAGUCGAACGGUAACAGGAAGAAGCUUGCUUCUUUGCUGACGAGUGGCGGACGGGUGAGUAAUGUCUGGGAAACUGCCUGAUGGAGGGGGAUAACUACUGGAAACGGUAGCUAAUACCGCAUAACGUCGCAAGACCAAAGAGGGGGCCCUUCGGGCCUCUUGCCAUCGGAUGUGCCCAGAUGGGAUUAGCUAGUAGGUGGGGUAACGGCU